This 471-nucleotide ribosomal RNA is filed under the name uncultured bacterium. RNAcentral describes it as "bacterial SSU rRNA". It matches the Rfam family "Bacterial small subunit ribosomal RNA", at positions 355 to 825 of the family's 1533-position model. The record is from RNAcentral.
UCGAGAAUUUUUCUCAAUGGGCGAAAGCCUGAAGGAGCGACGCCGCGUGGGGGAUGAAUGGCUUCGGCCCGUAAACCCCUGUCAUUUGUGAACAAACCUCGUGAUUUAACAGAUGACGAGCUGAUUGUAGCGAAAGAGGAAGGGACGGCUAACUCUGUGCCAGCAGCCGCGGUAAUACAGAGGUCCCAAGCGUUGUUCGGAUUCACUGGGCGUAAAGGGUGCGUAGGUGGUUGGGUAAGUCUGAUGUGAAAUCUCCGGGCCUAACCCGGAAACUGCAUCGGAUACUAUUCGACUGGAGGGUUGGAGGGGGGACUGGAAUACUUGGUGUAGCAGUGAAAUGCGUAGAUAUCAAGUGGAACACCAGUGGCGAAGGCGAGUCCCUGGACAACUCCUGACACUGAGGCACGAAAGCUAGGGGAGCAAACAGGAUUAGAUACCCCUGUAGUCCCUGAGCGGGCUGGCAAGGCGCAU